Molecule: RNase P RNA, 415 nt
Filed under: Candidatus Yanofskybacteria bacterium RIFCSPHIGHO2_01_FULL_44_22
Lineage: Bacteria; Candidatus Yanofskyibacteriota
Description: RNase P RNA component class A
Rfam family: Bacterial RNase P class A
About the family: Ribonuclease P (RNase P) is a ubiquitous endoribonuclease, found in archaea, bacteria and eukarya as well as chloroplasts and mitochondria.
Source: RNAcentral
UCUCCAAAUCAGGCAAUUACUCUCACGUUUUAAAGCGUGGGGGAGGAAAGUCCGAGCACUAACCCGGCAUUUUGCUUGUCAAAAAGCUGGGAAAACGGUAGCGGGUAACUCCCGUCGGUCGCGAGACCAGAGGUGCGAGCAGAGACGCUCCGACAUGAAAGUGUCGGGGAAGCUAAACCCUAAAUUAAUGAUUUAAUCAUUGAUGACAGCUUAGUUCCGAUUGAGGGCUUAAAAAUCGGGGGUGAAACGGCAAAAUCCUUACCGGAGCGCAAGAGCAGCGCUCGCGAUUCGCUACUGCGAACCGCGAUGCGAAAAGUUGGCUCGCUUGAGACCGCAAGUAAUUACGGCCCCAGAUAAAUAAUUGCCAUGAGCGUUUAACGCUCAAACAGAACUCGGCUUAUUAUUUGGAGAACCA